GACGAACGCUGGCGGCGUGCUUAACACAUGCAAGUCGAACGAUGAACCCGGAGCUUGCUCCGGUGGAUUAGUGGCGAACGGGUGAGUAACACGUGAGUAACCUGCCCUUGACUCUGGGAUAACUGCGGGAAACUGUAGCUAAUACCGGAUACGACCCUCGGCGGCAUCGCCAGGGGGUGGAAAGAAUUUCGGUCAAGGAUGGACUCGCGGCCUAUCAGCUAGUUGGUGAGGUAACGGCUCACCAAGGCGACGACGGGUAGCCGGCCUGAGAGGGUGACCGGCCACACUGGGACUGAGACACGGCCCAGACUCCUACGGGAGGCUGCAGUCAAGAAUCUUCCUCAAUGGACGAAAGUCUGAAGGAGCAAUGCCGCGUGAUCGAUGAAGCCCCUCGGGGUGUAAAGAUCUUUUAUCAGGGACGAAUUAUUGACGGUACCUGAUGAAUAAGUCACUGCUAACUUCGUGCCAGCAGCCGCCGUAA
Molecule: ribosomal RNA, 481 nt
Filed under: uncultured bacterium
Lineage: Bacteria
Description: partial 16S ribosomal RNA
Rfam family: Bacterial small subunit ribosomal RNA
Source: RNAcentral